GAUGAACGCUGGCGGCGUGCCUAAUACAUGCAAGUCGAGCGAACAGACGAGGAGCUUUCUCCUCUGACUGUAUCGGCGGACGGGUGAUUAACACGGGGAUAACCUACCUAUAAGACUGGGGUAACUUCGCGAAACCGUGUCUAAGACCGAAUAAUUUAUUGAACCUCGUUGUUCAAUAGUUGAAUACGGUUUUUCUUUCGCUUAUAGAUGGAUCCGCCCCGCAUUAAUUAGUUGGUAAGGUAACGGCUUACCAACGCGAGGAUGCGUAGCCGACCUGAGAGGGAGAUCGGCUACACUGGCACUGAGAAUCGGCACAGACUCCUACGGGAGGACGCAGUAGGGAAUCUUCCGCAAUGGGCGAAUGCCUGACGGAGCACAGCCGCGUGAGUCAUGAAGGUCUUCGGCUCGUAAAACUAUGUUAUUCGGGAAGUACAAAUGUGUAAGUACCUAUGAACGUAUUGACGGUACCUAAUCAGAAAGCCACGGCUAACUCCGUG
This 497-nucleotide ribosomal RNA is filed under the name uncultured bacterium. RNAcentral's name for it is "partial 16S ribosomal RNA". It matches the Rfam family "Bacterial small subunit ribosomal RNA", at positions 28 to 507 of the family's 1533-position model. The record is from RNAcentral.